UCCUGACAUUGGCCAACAUGGAGCGAUGUCUGCCUUUAUCUGGAGUAUGUCGGGGAGAACAUGAGUGCAGUCUCGCACCGGGACAAGUUCCACAGUAGAGUUUCCCACAUCGGGGAAAUCGCAGGGACCAGCAAGUCUGGAGUGUGAGGGAGAAGACUAGUACUGGGAGAACCAUCUUCUUGACGAUGACAUUCUUUCUGCCAAGGUUCUCACAACCAAUUGAAAGAGAAUAAAACAUUCUCUUGCUUCAUAACCAAAGUGCUGCUCACACUUCCAGCAACCUUUGGAAGGGGAAUCCUGGCUAUUGAUGUCCCUGGAAAGAGAGUGGUAGAAGAAAAGAAAUUGAAGACAUGGAAGAAAGAUGAAAACGCUGGCUACUAAAUACCUAUGUGUGGUUACUGAGUGUGGUAUACUUGGACACCGAGCUCCCCCACCCAUCAGAUGUCACAAAGAGUCCUUUUACUCUUGGAUAAUUUCAAAUCAAACUGACCUCCCCAGACACCAGAGCCAGAAACAGGAAAAGGCUACAAUUAACUAACUGAAGCACAAUGUGAAGUUAAUCAAUAAUGGAACGAUUAUGACGAAGAUGCCAUACAUUAACUCUACCUAGACAUGAGUGCUGCUUUCAGAGCAUGAACAUUCUUUCAAAUUCCAGAUACCACUUUUUCCCUUCAUGAAUGUUUCUGCAAAAGAAUGAAAGCAAAAUACUGAAGCAAAUAUCAGGCGAGAUUUUGGCUCAUGCACAGAAAGUCAAAUAUCCAUCGACCUCAGCUACCUGCAGCUCAGCAAGGAAGCCACUGAUGAUCAGCAAAAUUCCUAAACAGCAAAGGCAGCAGCACAAAAAUUAAGAUUCCAUCAGCCACGCACUCUCUCACUUUGUCACUCUUCUUUGGACCCCAUUCAAAAAAAAUAAUAAUAAGCAUUUUCAGUUCUCUUAGCUCUAAGGAACAGAUUGCAAUGUGACAAUGGAUUCUGGUGGGAAUGAUGAAGGAAAUAGAAAACUUUCAAAGGUGGACACAGGAAUUCAAAAUAUGUAUGUGAGCCAGACGUGGUAGCUCGUCUUGUAAUCCCAACACGUUGGGAGGCCAAGUGGGAGGAUUAGAGUUUGAGA
This is a long non-coding RNA of Gorilla gorilla gorilla (western lowland gorilla), 1111 nucleotides long. RefSeq lists it as uncharacterized. The record is from RefSeq and is a predicted model, not a curated record. The transcript has 5 exons. Lineage: Eukaryota; Metazoa; Chordata; Mammalia; Primates; Hominidae.